RNAcentral lists this ribosomal RNA (333 nucleotides) under uncultured bacterium. Its description in RNAcentral is "bacterial SSU rRNA". It matches the Rfam family "Bacterial small subunit ribosomal RNA", at positions 568 to 898 of the family's 1533-position model. The record is from RNAcentral.
CGUGUAGGCGGUUGGUCAAGUCGGGUGUGAAAGCCUGGGGCUCAGCCCCAGAAGUGCAUCCGAAACUAGCCAGCUAGAGCGCGAUAGAGGAGGGUGGAAUUCCUGGUGUAGCGGUGAAAUGCGUAGAUAUCAGGAGGAACACCGGCGGCGAAGGCGGCCCUCUGGAUCGUUGCUGACGCUGAGACGCGAAAGCGUGGGGAGCAAACAGGAUUAGAUACCCUGGUAGUCCCACGCCUUAAACGAUGGGUACUAGGUGUUCGGGGUGUUGACCCCCUGAGUGCCGCAGUUAACGCAUUAAGUACCCCGCCUGGGGACUACGGCCGCAAGGUUAAA